This is an RNA transcript of Cucumis sativus (cucumber), 4256 nucleotides long. It is a transcript of the gene named G-type lectin S-receptor-like serine/threonine-protein kinase At4g03230, with no coding region annotated. The transcript is spliced from 8 exons. The record is from RefSeq and is a predicted model, not a curated record. Lineage: Eukaryota; Viridiplantae; Streptophyta; Magnoliopsida; Cucurbitales; Cucurbitaceae.
UUUUGUUUGUAGUCCACAGUUGCUUAGCUUCCACUUAUAGUCUUCUUCUACUUCUAAUUUUCAAACCUCUGUUUGAGUCCUGCCUAGGGUUUUGUAUAUUUGACUCUUUUAUGAAUUUGUACUGCUCGAUGGCUUUGCUUUGCUUUGCCUCAGGCUAUAGAAUCCCACCAUCUGUACCAUUAAAGAACGUGCAAUGGACGAAAGUCUUCUGUGGGUCUCUCUCCUUCCAAUUAAAAAUUUGAAAGCGGUAGAUGAUUUUAAUACAUUAGAAUUGCCCCGCCAAAAUAAUGAUGAAAGAAAAGUUAGGGUUGAUCAAAUUGCUUAGGCUAUGCCUUUAGUCGUUCUCUCAUAAAGAUGGUGAGAAAAAAAGUAGGGUAGUGGGUCCACUAAUGGAAAGGUGAACUUGACAACAACAGUAAAUCUUGACCUUGGUUGCCCAUUUUUGCUUUACAAUAAUUCAGUUUAGACAAUCACAAACCCCCAAUUUGGACUUGCUAGUGGGGGAAAAAAGUUGUAAACUCAUGUUGUGUAAAUUAAAUUGCUUAAUAUAUGGGUUUGGAAUCUGAACCAAGAAUGAGUAUUUUUCUUUUGAACUUUACUCUGAGAAAAUGGCUUUCUUUGUAGGAUAUUUGUCAUUUGUCUGAACGGUCUCUCUGUUCUAGACAUAUUCAUGUUGAAUUCUUUAUAUAAUUUUUCAACUUUUUUAGUAGUUUUCACAUUAUUAUUAUAAUUGCUAAAUCAUGCUCAGUGUUUGUUGGUAAAUGGCUUGAUCAUGUGGGCCAGGUGGGAAAGCAACAUUUUUGUAAUGUUGUUGAAACUAAAAAGAAAGAUGUUCUUCACGAGUCUGAUCUUUUUUUUGUUAUUCUUAUAAUCACUUUAAAAAAUCACGAGGAUGAAUGGAGGAAGAUAGAAAUAGUGGAGAGGGAACAUGUUUGUUGCAUAACAGAAGUAGUGAAAUGGUGGCCAAAAGAAGUAGUGUCAAGAAAUUGGUCACCAUCAGCUGGUUUGCAGAGCAUUUGAUGUCUUUUUUCCAUUUGUACUCAUUUGUGUUUUUAAUUUUCGUUGUUAAUUGCUUUGCUAAAGAUACCUUAGAGUUUAAGAGUUGCAUAAGUCAUGGGAGUGGGGAUACUCUUGUAUCGGCAGGGUCGAGAUUCGAACUUGGAUUCUUUCAGCCAUAUGGCAGCUCUCAUAGCAGAAGAUACUUGGGAAUAUGGUAUUACAAAUCAAAUCCAAUUACGGUUGUUUGGGUUGCCAAUCGAGACAGACCACUUCCUAGUUCAGAUGGUGUCUUGAAGAUCGAGGAUGAUGGCAACCUCAAAGUAUAUGAUGGAAAUCAGAAUCUUUAUUGGUCAACAAACAUUGGAAGUUCUGUACCUGAUCAAAGGACCCUGAAACUAAUGGAUAAUGGAAAUCUGGUUUUGAGCUAUGUAGAUCAAGAAGACUUGUCUGAGCACAUCCUCUGGCAAAGUUUCGAUUAUCCAACUGAUACAUUUCUUCCUGGCAUGUUAAUGGACGAUAACUUGGUGCUGGCUUCAUGGAAGAGCUAUGAUGACCCGGCCCAAGGGAACUUCACUUUUCAGUUAGAUCAGGACGGAGGUCAAUAUGUCAUUUGGAAAAGAUCAGUUAAAUUCUGGAAAAGUGGAGUUUCAGGUAAGUUUAUUACCACUGAUAAGAUGCCUGCUGCAUUGUUAUACCUUUUGUCAAAUUUCUCAUCGAAAACUGUCCCAAACUUCUCUGUGCCACAUCUCACAUCAUCAUUGUAUAUUGAUACAAGGCUAGUAUUGAACAGCUCAGGUCAGCUUCAUUACCUAAACUGGGAAGAUCACAAAGUCUGGUCUCAGAUUUGGGUGGAGCCGAGAGAUAGAUGCAGUGUGUAUAAUGCGUGUGGAGAUUUUGCUAGCUGUAAUAGUGAGUGUGGUAUGGCUUGCAAAUGCCUGCCUGGUUUUGAGCCUACCUCUCCAGGGAGUUGGAAUAUUGGAGAUUAUUCAGGUGGAUGCAUUAGGAAAUCACCAAUAUGCAGUGUGGAUGCUGACAGUGACACUUUUUUGAGUCUAAAGAUGAUGAAAGCUGGAAACCCGGACUUCCAGUUUAAUGCAAAGGAUGACUUCGAUUGCAAAUUGGAGUGCCUUAACAACUGCCAGUGUCAGGCUUACUCGUAUUUGGAAGCUAAUAUCACAAGGCAGAGUGGGAAUUAUAAUUCUGCUUGUUGGAUCUGGUCUGGAGAUCUCAACAAUCUUCAGGAUGAGUUUGAUGAUGGUCGUGACCUCAAUGUUCGAGUAGCAGUUAGAGACCUAGAAUCAACUGCCAGAAACUGUGGAACAUGUGGAACAAACCUCAUUCCUUAUCCACUUAGCACAGGACCUAAAUGCGGUGACCCCAUGUACUUCAAUUUUAACUGCAACUUGGCUUCUGGCCAGGUAAACUUUGAAGCAGCAGGUGGAACAUACAAGGUUAAAUUCAUUGAUUCAGAAGCACGAAAAUUUUACAUCCAAACCAAGGAACCGGGUGAUUGUGGUGAUAAAAACUGGAUAACCAAAGCCCUUCAGCUGAACCAGUCAUCUCCUUUCCGUGUAACCAGCUGGUGCAACUUUAAGGAGACCAAUCUCGAGGAGAAUUUUUCUCUGAAAACUAGCAAUGAAGUUGAAAUCAGUUGGGAGCCUCCACUAGAGCCAAUUUGUUCUUCAACUACGGACUGCAAAGACUGGCCUUAUUCAACUUGCAACAUGAGUAAAGAUGGAAAUAAAAGAUGCCUUUGCAUAACAGAUUUUCAUUGGAAUGGCUGGAUCUUGAAUUGCACUACAGAUCACAACAAAGGAAAGGAUGGAAAAGGCAAAACGACCUUUUCUGUGAUUAUUGUUGCAACAUCCUUAUGUAUGGUCCUUCUGAUGAUUCUCUCAUGUACCGUAUUUUACAUUUACUUCUCCAAAAGUGGGCUCAUUGAAAGACAAGAAAGCAGGGGAAACAGCCAAAAAGAUUUAAUGCUUCACUUGUACGAUAAUGAGAGACGUGUCAAAGACCUGAUUGAAUCCGGUCGAUUCAAGGAAGAUGAUACAAAUGGAAUAGACAUUCCAUUUUUUGAUUUGGAAACCAUUCUAGUUGCAACAGAUAACUUCUCAAAUGCAAACAAGCUUGGCCAGGGAGGCUUUGGGCCAGUUUACAAGGGCAAGUUUCCUAGUGGGCAGGAGAUUGCUGUAAAGAGGCUUUCAAGUGGUUCAGGGCAAGGCUUUGAGGAGUUUAAGAAUGAGGUUUUAUUAAUUGCUAAACUUCAGCAUCGAAAUCUCGUUAGACUCUUGGGCUACUGUGUUGAAGGAGAUGAAAAGAUGUUGCUUUAUGAAUAUAUGCCAAAUAAAAGCUUAGACGCCUUUAUAUUUGAUCAAAAGAUGAGUGUGGCAUUGGAUUGGGACAUGCGCUUCAACGUCAUUUUGGGAAUUGCUCGUGGCCUUCUUUAUUUACACCAAGAUUCGAGGUUGAGAAUUAUCCAUAGAGAUUUGAAGACGAGCAAUAUUCUUCUAGAUGAGGAGAUGAAUCCCAAAAUAUCCGACUUUGGCUUGGCGAGGAUAUUUGGAGGGAAAGAAACUGCCACAAAUACUAAAAGGGUGUGGAUACAUGUCACCAGAAUAUGCAUUGGAUGGGAUAUUUUCUGUCAAAUCUGAUGUCUUUAGCUUCGGUGUAGUCGUAAUCGAGAUCAUUAGUGGAAAAAGGAACACUGGAUUCUUUCACUCGGAGAAAGCUUUGAGUCUCCUGGGCUAUGCUUGGGAUUUAUGGAUGAAAGACGAAGGCUUGGAUUUAAUGGAGCAAACACUGAGCGGGAAUUGCAAACGAGAUGAAUAUUUGAAGUGUUUAAAUGUGGGGCUGUUGUGCGUGCAGGAAGAUCCAUGGGAUCGACCCACCAUGUUGAAUGUGGUAUUCAUGCUCGGAAGCGAAACCGCAACUCUUCCAUCUCCGAAACCACCAGCUUUCGUCGUACGGCGGUGCCCCUCAAGCAGAGCUUCCUCCUCCACCAAACCAGAAACCUUCUCCCAUAAUGAGUUGACAGUCACCCUACAAGAUGGUAGAUAGCAGAAAGAAGCGUCUUCCCAUGUGAACUAUUGAUGUAUAACUUCACAUUUAUUCAUAUUAUACUUCUGCUGAUUGGUUCUAUUUGAUAUUUAGAAUGGACUUUCGAGUUUAACUUGUUGAGAUGAUUGUUGAAGAGAAUAACAAACAAAUGUUAUAUAAAUUUUAUGCAAACUUUCGUUUAAAAAGAAAAAAAGAGA